This 513-nucleotide ribosomal RNA is filed under the name uncultured bacterium. Its description in RNAcentral is "partial 16S ribosomal RNA". It matches the Rfam family "Bacterial small subunit ribosomal RNA", at positions 28 to 523 of the family's 1533-position model. The record is from RNAcentral.
GAUGAACGCUGGCGGCGUGCCUAAUACAUGCAAGUCGAGCGAACAGAUAAGGAGCUUGCUCCUUUGACGUUAGCGGCGGACGGGUGAGUAACACGUGGGUAACCUACCUAUAAGACUGGGAUAACUUCGGGAAACCGGAGCUAAUACCGGAUAACAUUUGGAACCGCAUGGUUCUAAAGUGAAAGAUGGUUUUGCUAUCACUUAUAGAUGGACCCGCGCCGUAUUAGCUAGUUGGUAAGGUAACGGCUUACCAAGGCGACGAUACGUAGCCGACCUGAGGGGGUGAUCGGCCACACUGGAACUGAGACACGGUCCAGACUCCUACGGGAGGCAGCAGUAGGGAAUCUUCCGCAAUGGGCGAAAGCCUGACGGAGCAACGCCGCGUGAGUGAUGAAGGGUUUCGGCUCGUAAAACUCUGUUAUUAGGGAAGAACAAACGUGUAAGUAACUGUGCACGUCUUGACGGUACCUAAUCAGAAAGCCACGGCUAACUACGUGCCAGCAGCCGCAGUAA